Molecule: RNA transcript, 1596 nt
Organism: Loxodonta africana (African savanna elephant)
Lineage: Eukaryota; Metazoa; Chordata; Mammalia; Proboscidea; Elephantidae
Gene: MTHFD2L
Gene name: methylenetetrahydrofolate dehydrogenase (NADP+ dependent) 2 like
Exons: 13
Source: RefSeq, a predicted model, not a curated record
CGGACUGCCGGCGCUGGGUAGGCGUGCGGCGCUGGGAGAGGCCCGGCACGUAUUCCGGGGCUUUCGGAGCAGUGGCGUGAGCCUGUGAACAAGAGUCCAGCUUUCCAACCUGCCGAUCUUGGAUUCUCCAGCCCCUGCAGCUAUGUGAGUGAGGAGAAGCCUUGUGGUCUUGCCUGCCGACCUUGGGGAUUUCUCAACCUUCACAGCCUGUGAGUGGGAGCCCUGCUCCCUGAACUGCUGAUCUUGGGUUCACCAGCUUCUGUGGCUCCGUGAAUUGGUAAAGGCCUCUAUCUUGAUCCAAGGACUUGGGACAUUCCAGACUCCACAAUCAUGACCAGCAGAGAGAAGAGAUUCCAUCUUCCAGAGACAUGAAGCCAUUAUUAUCUCAGGAACUGAAAUGGCCAAACAAAUCCAGAAAGAAAUACAACGAGGUGUGGAAUCAUGGAUUUCACUUGGGAACAGAAGACCUCACCUCAGUAUCAUUCUAGUGGGAGACAACCCAGCAAGCCACAUGUACGUGAGGAAUAAGAUAAGAGCUGCCUGCACUGUAGGUAUCUGCAGUGAGCUCAUUCUAAAACCUAAGAGUGUUUCUCAGGAAGAACUUUUGGAUAUAACCGAUCAGUUGAACAUGGACCCAAGAGUCAGUGGCAUAUUAAUUCAGUUACCACUUCCAGACCACGUGGAUGAGCGAACAGUAUGCAAUGGAAUUAGUCCUGAAAAAGAUGUAGACGGAUUUCACCUUAUCAAUAUUGGAAGACUGUGCCUUGAUCAGCAUUCUCUCAUCCCUGCCACUGCCAGUGCUGUUUGGGAAAUAAUCAAAAGAACAGGAAUUGAAACAUUUGGGAAAAAUGUGGUUGUGGCUGGAAGAUCUAAGAAUGUAGGAAUGCCCAUUGCGAUGCUUUUGCACACUGAUGGAGACCAUGAACGGCCAGGAGGUGAUGCAACUGUGACAAUAGCUCACAGAUAUACCCCCAAAGAACAAUUGAAGAUCCAUACUCAGCUGGCGGAUAUUAUCAUAGUAGCUGCAGAUCCAAUCUCUGCCCUUCCCUGCCCUGCUCUGGCCCGGGGAGGCUGGCUGCUGAGGACUGUCUUACCUGAGCUCCCCUGCUGCUGGUUCCUGGCAGUGUUUGGCACCACCAGGAGAUCAGAGGGAGAAGGAGAGCAUGGUCACUUCUGGAUGGAUAUGGAAUUAUGCCAGCACCAUUUGUUAAAGAGACUGUCUUUUCCCCAAUUAACGGACUUUGGGCUUUUGUCGAAUAUCAGCUGAUCAGAACCCAGCCUAAGACAAUCCUCAGUGAAACAGAUUGACACAGUGGCUGCAACAAUGGGCUCGGACAUAGCAAUGAUUGUGAAGAUGGUGCAGGACUAGGCAGUGUUUCGUUCCAUUGUACAUAUGGUCACAAUAAGUCAGAACUGACUCUACGGCACCUAACAACAACAACCUUACUUUCUCUUCGAUUCCAUGGAUGGUAUUGCAGGGCAGAUGCGGGUGUGAGGCCUGAGGGCCAAGAGGCCACAGGAAGCAGAAGAUGAAGAGACAAGGAACACAAGAAGCCAAGCUGCCUCAGUCUGAAAAGACUUUCUCACCUUUAGAAG